UCCUAAUGGUUUGUGAGGAUGCUUCAGCA
Molecule: non-coding RNA, 29 nt
Filed under: Homo sapiens (human)
Lineage: Eukaryota; Metazoa; Chordata; Mammalia; Primates; Hominidae
Source: RNAcentral